Molecule: non-coding RNA, 24 nt
Filed under: Arabidopsis thaliana (thale cress)
Lineage: Eukaryota; Viridiplantae; Streptophyta; Magnoliopsida; Brassicales; Brassicaceae
Source: RNAcentral
UUCGACCCGUCUUGAAACACGGAC